RNAcentral lists this ribosomal RNA (296 nucleotides) under uncultured bacterium. RNAcentral describes it as "partial 16S ribosomal RNA". It matches the Rfam family "Bacterial small subunit ribosomal RNA", at positions 28 to 334 of the family's 1533-position model. The record is from RNAcentral.
GGUGAACGCUAGCGGUGCGCCUAACACAUGCAAGUCGAGCGGUAGAAUUUUCUAGCUUGCUAGAAAAUUUGAGAGCGGCGAACGGGUGAGUAACACGUUGGAAUCUGCCCCCAAGUCAGGGAUAGCCAUUGGAAACGAUGAUUAAUACCGGAUGUGCUCUUCGGAGUAAAGAUUUAUCGCUUGGGGAGGAUCCUGCGUACUAUCAGCUUGUUGGUGAGGUAACUGCUCACCAAGGCUAUGACGGUUAACUGGUCUGAGAGGAUGAUCAGUCACAAUGAAACUGAGACACGGUUCAU